RNAcentral lists this ribosomal RNA (459 nucleotides) under uncultured bacterium. RNAcentral's name for it is "partial 16S ribosomal RNA". It matches the Rfam family "Bacterial small subunit ribosomal RNA", at positions 339 to 795 of the family's 1533-position model. The record is from RNAcentral.
CUACGGGACGCUGCAGUGAGGAAUAUUGGUCAAUGGGCGCAAGCCUGAACCAGCCAUGCCGCGUGCAGGAUGACUGCCCUAUGGGUUGUAAACUGCUUUUCUGAGGGAAGAAACACUCCGACGUGUCGGAGCUUGCCGGUACCUCAGGAAUAAGCAUCGGCUAACUCCGUGCCAGCAGCCGCGGUAAUACGGAGGAUGCAAGCGUUAUCCGGAUUUAUUAGGUUUAAAGGGUGCGUAGGCGGGAUGUUAAGUCAGUGGUGAAAUCUUGCCGCUUAACGGUAAAAUUGCCAUUGAAACUGACAUUCUUGAGUAUAGUUGAGGUGGGCGGAAUGUGUAGUGUAGCGGUGAAAUGCUUAGAUAUUACACAGAACACCGAUUGCGAAGGCAGCUCACUAAACUAUCACUGACGCUGAGGCACGAAAGCGUGGGGAGCGAACAGGAUUAGAUACCCCCGUAGUC